This 253-nucleotide ribosomal RNA is filed under the name uncultured bacterium. RNAcentral's name for it is "partial 16S ribosomal RNA". It matches the Rfam family "Bacterial small subunit ribosomal RNA", at positions 524 to 776 of the family's 1533-position model. The record is from RNAcentral.
UACAGCGGUCUCAAGCGUUGUUCGGAUUCAUUGGGCGUAAAGGGUGCGUAGGUGGCGCUGUAAGUCGGGUGUGAAAUUUCGGAGCUUAACUCCGAAACUGCAUUCGAUACUGCGGUGCUUGAGGACUGGAGAGGAGACUGGAAUUCAUGGUGUAGCAGUGAAAUGCGUAGAGAUCAUGAGGAAGACCAGUGGCGAGGGCGGGUCUCUGGACAGUUCCUGACACUGAGGCACGAAGGCCAGGGGAGCAAACGGG